RNAcentral lists this ribosomal RNA (370 nucleotides) under Staphylococcus sp. HMSC076E07. Its description in RNAcentral is "bacterial SSU rRNA". It matches the Rfam family "Bacterial small subunit ribosomal RNA", at positions 7 to 366 of the family's 1533-position model. Lineage: Bacteria; Bacillati; Bacillota; Bacilli; Caryophanales; Staphylococcaceae. The record is from RNAcentral.
GAGAGUUUGAUCCUGGCUCAGGAUGAACGCUGGCGGCGUGCCUAAUACAUGCAAGUCGAGCGAACAGACAAGGAGCUUGCUCCUUUGACGUUAGCGGCGGACGGGUGAGUAACACGUGGGUAACCUACCUAUAAGACUGGGAUAACUUCGGGAAACCGGAGCUAAUACCGGAUAAUAUUUCGAACCGCAUGGUUCGAUAGUGAAAGAUGGUUUUGCUAUCACUUAUAGAUGGACCCGCGCCGUAUUAGCUAGUUGGUAAGGUAACGGCUUACCAAGGCGACGAUACGUAGCCGACCUGAGAGGGUGAUCGGCCACACUGGAACUGAGACACGGUCCAGACUCCUACGGGAGGCAGCAGUAGGGAAUCUUC